RNAcentral lists this non-coding RNA (169 nucleotides) under Aedes aegypti (yellow fever mosquito). Its description in RNAcentral is "FMN sequence". It matches the Rfam family "FMN riboswitch aptamer (RFN element)". Rfam says of the family: The RFN element is a highly conserved domain that is found frequently in the 5'-untranslated regions of prokaryotic mRNAs that encode for flavin mononucleotide (FMN) biosynthesis and transport proteins. This element is a metabolite-dependent riboswitch that directly binds FMN in the absence of proteins. Lineage: Eukaryota; Metazoa; Arthropoda; Insecta; Diptera; Culicidae. The record is from RNAcentral.
CAACGUCUUCAGGGCGGGGCGAAAUUCCCCACCGGCGGUAGGCACAGCUGCAACGCAUGUUGCAGGGUCUUUGCGAGCCCGCGAGCGCUCCUGGCUCCUUGCCAGGAGGUCAGCAGAUCUGGCACCACACCAGAGCCGACGGUCACAGUCCGGAUGAAAGAAGAUGAGC